This 140-nucleotide small nucleolar RNA is filed under the name Chaetura pelagica (chimney swift). RNAcentral describes it as "Small nucleolar RNA ZL1". It matches the Rfam family "Small nucleolar RNA ZL1". Rfam says of the family: Host gene TRRAP. Lineage: Eukaryota; Metazoa; Chordata; Aves; Apodiformes; Apodidae. The record is from Rfam by way of RNAcentral.
GAAGAAGCAAAGUGAUGAGCAAUACUUGCAUGAGCCAAAGUGAGUGAGUUGUGUGUGUGUGUUGUGUGAUGGUUGGUUGUGAGAAGUGUGUCCCUUAUAACUGGGCCAUGAUAGCUAAACUGAUAAGAUCUGAUUGCUUC